GAAGGGACCUAGCGUAGUUCGGAAUUACUGGGCUUAAAGAGUUCGUAGGUGGUUGAAAAAGUUGGUGGUGAAAUCCCAGAGCUUAACUCUGGAACUGCCAUCAAAACUUUUCAGCUAGAGUAUGAUAGAGGAAAGCAGAAUUUCUAGUGUAGAGGUGAAAUUCGUAGAUAUUAGAAAGAAUACCAAUUGCGAAGGCAGCUUUCUGGAUCAUUACUGACACUGAGGAACGAAAGCAUGGGUAGCGAAGAGGAUUAGAUACCCCUCGUAGUCCAUGCCGUAAACGAUGUGUGUUAGACGUUGGAAAUUUAUUUUCAGUGUCGCAGGGAACCGAUAAACACACCGCCUGGGAGUACGACCGCAAGGUUAAAACUCAAAUGAAUUGACGGGGACCCGCACAAGUAGUGGAGCAUGUGGUUAAUUCGAGAUACGCGCAGACCCUUACCCACACUUGACAUGUUCGUCGCGACUCUAAGAGAUUAGAGUUUCGGUUCGGCCGACG
This 499-nucleotide ribosomal RNA is filed under the name uncultured marine bacterium. RNAcentral describes it as "bacterial SSU rRNA". It matches the Rfam family "Bacterial small subunit ribosomal RNA", at positions 527 to 1028 of the family's 1533-position model. The record is from RNAcentral.